Molecule: ribosomal RNA, 379 nt
Filed under: uncultured eukaryote
Lineage: Eukaryota
Description: partial 18S ribosomal RNA
Rfam family: Eukaryotic small subunit ribosomal RNA
Source: RNAcentral
CAAUAGCGUAUAUUUAAGUUGUUGCAGUUAAAAAGCUCGUAGUUGGAUUUCGGAUGGGACUUGCCGGUCCGUCGUUUCGAUGUGCACUGGCCAGUCCUAUCUUGUUGUCGGGGACUAGCUCCUGGGCUUCACUGUCCGGGACUAGGAGCUGACGAGGUUACUUUGAGUAAAUUAGAGUGUUCAAAGCAAGCCUACGCUCUGAAUACAUUAGCAUGGAAUAACACGAUAGGACUCUGGCUUAUCUUGUUGGUCUGUGAGACCAGAGUAGUGAUUAAGAGGGACAGUCGGGGGCAUUCGUAUUUCAUUGUCAGAGGUGAAAUUCUUGGAUUUAUGAAAGACGAACUUCUGCGAAAGCAUUUGUCAAGGAUGUUUNCAUUAA